This 16336-nucleotide long non-coding RNA is filed under the name Trifolium pratense (red clover). RNAcentral describes it as "long non-coding RNA (TPRA_LNC005621)". Lineage: Eukaryota; Viridiplantae; Streptophyta; Magnoliopsida; Fabales; Fabaceae. The record is from RNAcentral.
AUAAAAGGGUAGGUACUAUUUAUUUUAGGAUAUAUAAUGAUAGCCCCAUGGACAGUUGCUCUAGUCCAAUCACUAUGAGCAUGCCACCAUAAAGUCCCUUCUUCUUCUGAAAAAAUCACUUUUUGUCUGAAUUUCUUUCCAGGUUGAAUUGGACACUGAGUUAUAUACUCAGGACCAUCUGGCCAUGGAUUCCUAGGCUGCUUCACUCCAUGCCUGCCCAUUUAAUAAGUUAUAGUAAUUAAAAACUUUAAUUAAUUUACCAUCCAUUAUAUAUGUUGUGUUUUCCAUGUGUCAUAAAAAAUUUAGAAAUUAAUACCAAUGUAUAGUUAUGUUGUGUUUUCCCUUGUUAUAAACAUUAACAUAAAUUGUAUCACCAUUGUGGACUCUUAUAGUUGGCCCUGGAAAUUUUCCAUUCACAGUCAAUAUGCUUUUUGUGCUACACAGUCUUGUGUAACGAGCUUCUUUCACCUGCAAUAUUAAUCAAUUAUUACAUGCAUGCAUGUAUGUCUUGAUUAACUUAUGAUCUAAGAUACUCUUAUUGUAUACUCUUAUUAUAUUUGUGACAAAUAUUAUACAAACGUGUUUCAACUACAUACCAAACAGUUUCAUGCAACAAUCUUAGUUUAGUAAAAAAUUAAAAAGAUGCAAAUUAUGGUUAUGAUUGCUAACAAAAAUCCAUAAAAAUUGUCACGAAAUGAGAGGACUCACAACAAAAUUAUAAUGCCUUCGAGUUUGGAAUUGGGAACUAAGAGCAAUCAAAGAAGAAAUCAAAAGAAUUUGGAGGAACAAUUCAUUGUAAAAUGACAUUUUCAUGAAUGAAAAUGUGUAAACACUCGUUCUAUAAUAUGCUAUUCAGAAUAAUUUGUUUGGGUUAUGAAAGCAUUUGUGUUGAAGGGGUUUUUAUACUUGAAGUGUGAGAUAUGUGUUUGGCCAACUUUUUUGGGUCAUAAAUGCUACUUUGAAGUUAAUGCUAGAGAUAAAAAAUUUAANNNNNNNNNNNNNNNNNNNNNNNNNNNNNNNNNNNNNNNNNNNNAUUUUAAUUUUUUUAUAUUAGAAAUUGUUUUUGAGCUAAAAGUUGUUUGAUAUAAUAUUAAUUAAUUCAAAAGGUCUUAUUUUAAUAUAAGAUACCAUAGAUGAAUUAUAUAUUUACAGAAGAAAUCAAAUUUCUACAAAAGUAAAUAAAUUAAUGAAUAAGGAAUAUGAAUUUUUUACAAGUGACAAAUAAAGAUUAAAAUAUUAUAUUCUAUUGAAAUAUUUCAUUUUUUUAUCAUAUUUUUACUGAAUAAUAAUUCUGGUAUAAUAUUUUAUUCCAUAAAAAAAAUUAUGACUUUCUUGAAUAAGAUUAAAAUAUUAUAUUCUAUUAAAAUAUUUUACUUUUUGAUAAUUAAUAUGUUAUAAGUUAUACUAAUAUAUUUUUAAUAUGAUAAAACUAUGACAUCAUUAUUGUAAUUUUAAUAAAUAAACAACAUAUUAUACUGUAAUAUUCUUUUGAUGAAAUAUUAUAUUGUAACAUUUAGAUAACAUGCUUUUUUUUUUUAUAAUAAUAUUUACCAUAACACUGAUUCAUAUUUGUCAAUAUAUAUUACCAUGAAUAUGCUUUUUCUUUCACACAAAUAACAUGCUUGAUAAGGUUUCCAUAACUUUCCGAAUUAUGUAAAAAGAAUAAAAUUAAAAUACUUAUAAAAAAAUAUAAUAUAUAAAAUCAUAGCUAUAAACAAUAGAUAGACUAUUGACAUGUAGGGCGCGUUUGAUCUUUGAUCUGUCAAAAAAAUAAAGACUAAACAGGACAACUCUAGUGUACUUUGUUUGAUCGUAAAAUUGUUUUAGAGACGGGACAAAUUGGGAGGUAAGGGACAAGACAAAAACAGAGAAAUUUAUGUACCUCAAUAAACCACAACACAACUUUUUGUCCCAAGUACAAGUUGCCUAAAAUACCAAAAUACUAUUUUGUUCACCAAAUAUCAUAUAAGACAAAAAAAAAUUGUUCAAUAUCAUAAAAGUUUGUUUUGUGUUGUUCUGUCAUGUGUUUGUUAUGUCUUGUACUAUUUUGUCUUAUACUGUUCUGUCUAGUACUUACCCUUUAACAAAUCAAACACACCCGUAGGGAUGGAUUCAAAAAUCAAUCAUGACGGACCUAAUUUUUUUUAAUAAUAAAUGGUAGAUUAAAAUAUGUUUUUGAUCCUUACAAAAUCACAAGUUUUUUCCAUUUAGUCCUUUUAAAUUUUAAUUGUAAAUUUAAUUCUCUAAAAUAUUGCUAUUUUAAAUUCUAUUUCUACUCAAACACUCAUAAAUAUAUGAUAUCUGCGUAGAAAACAUGCAUGCAUGUGGGAGAGGCCCCUGCAAAGAAAACGAAUGAUUCCUAUAAUUCAUUCCCCCACAAAACAUGGUUUGUAUAAUAGUGGUCCAAAAACACACACAAUUCAGACGUAGCUAAGCAUCUCUAUUAUUUGGUUUGGAAAGAAAAGGAAAGUAGAGAACAUAUCCAGUUACAAACUGCAUUAUUCCUCUCCCCCACUACUAUUAUAGUAAAAAUAUAAAAAACAUUAAAUUUUAGACCCUUAUUAGAAAAUGUUAUGAUAACAACAGAUACUCACUUCCAAUAUAGCGAGGGCAUGUUUGGUGCGCAAAAUAGAAUAACGAUAAGAUACGAUAAGAAGCUGGAUAAAGAUAUGAUAAAAUAGCGACAGGAUAAACACAUAUCAUGUCAUGUAUUUGAUGCAAAUAGGAUAAGAAUGAUGAUAUAUCAUUAUUUUAUCAUAUCAUGUGUUUGGUGCACACUUGAUAUCGACAUGAUAAGAUUAAAUGAAAAACUUAUUAUUAUAAAACAAAUACAUUUUUUUAUAUAAGAAUUUUUUUAAAUUAACAUAAAAUAAUAAAUAAAAUUUUAAAAAAAACAUGAAGAAAUAUAUUGCUAAAAUUUAAAUUGUAUCAAAUUAAAAUUGUCAUACACAUAAGUAGCAAGAAAUCAAUGAAGCAACAAAACAACGAUAAAGCAUCAGGCCCAUUCUCAAUAUUUUUAUCAAACCAUACUUAAAUCAAAAUUUUGUAAAAUUUAUAUUCGUUAAAGCAUUAUUGAACGGUGUAACAUUAUUCAAAUGUUAUACCGAUAUAAUUUGAUGUCUCUCGGUAAAAUAAAAAGUUAAUAAAGAUUAUUAUGGGCUAGAAAGCUAGGCGUAAGAUAAAUAUGGUGAAUAAAGAAUAAUAAAAAUUCAUCUAAGUGCCUUCGGCAGGAAUCGAAGGCGUGUAAGUUUAACAAAUCCUAUCAUGUUGUUAUCCUAACUUAAAAUAAGGAUUAGAAUUAUAAAAAGUCGUCCUAUUGAUGCACGCACCAAACAAAAAAUUUAAACAAGAUAGAUUAAUUUUAUACUAUUAUGUCUCCUUAUCCAACGCAUCAAACGGAUCCUGAAGGAAUAGGUAAUUGGUUUUUUUUUAUACUCAUAGUCCAGUAUUAGUUAUAAAUGUAGAUUAUCCACCACCAUCACGUGAAGGAAUAGUUUUGGAAAAGGAAAAAAAAAAACACAUUUUUUAAAUCAUUAUUUAACAUUUGAUUUAUUUGGUCUGUGUGAAUUUCUAGAUUGUGAAGCAUUUUUUUUUUUAUGUAAACCAAAAAAAAAGAUUUUUUUUUAUAAGCAAAAUAUAUUAUAAAGGAGUAUAAGGGAUACUCAAACCCUUACAACGCAAAGUAAGAAAUCACAUUCUUUGAAUACAAGUCAUAUGAUCAUGACACCAAUUCGAAAAAGACAUAGAAGUACAAGAAUGAUGACCAUACCGACCGUUAAACCACAACCAAGAGUUAGCUAUAAUAUCUUCCACAAGAGAUGAAGCAUUUGGAAUGACGCCAUUGAAUACCACGUUGUUUCCAAGCUUCCAUAUGUUCCAUGUAACCAAAACAAAUGUCUAACGCGCUCACCUUUCUUCGCUGUUAUCAUAUCGUCAAACAACAAGAAAUGGUUCCAACCUUCUGCACCUGCUGAUAUACUCUUCAUUCCUAAUCAUCUAUAAACUGAUUCCCACACGCCUUUACUAAACGCGCAGUGAAAAAAGAGAUGGGAGCAAUCCUCCUGAUAAAGAAAACAAAAGAUACAAGACAAAUCAUGCGGGUUAACCAAUAUAUCUCUUCGAUUAAGCGCUAUCCUCGUAGGUAGUCUAUCUAAUAAUAACCUCCGGCCAAAAACAUUAACUUGGAUGGUGCAUUAUUCCUCCACAACUUUUUAAUAGCAGACAACACAUUAGAAUUCAAAACAUCAACCUGACGAUGUUCUAAUAACCACUGGUAACAAGAUUUAACGAAAAAAAUACUAGCUAUUCCAGGCAGCCAUCGCCAUCUAUCAUGAGAGUUCGGAUGAAGUGAAAAGGCUAACAACAAUUCCUUAAGAUCUUUCAAUUGUUGUUCCUUAAUUUCUAAUGACUGAACAGUCCAUUGCCAUGACCACAAAGAAUGCUCAUCAUUCCCAACAACCCUCCCUGCUAUCAUAACAUCCGUGAUACCUCUUUUUCAAAAUGAAUAGGAAAUAAAUCUUUAAAUGAUUCGCUCCCAAACCAUUUAAACUUCCAAAAACUAAUAUUAUUACCAUCACCAACACAACAUGCUACAUUUAGUUUAAACCAAUCAUCCUCUACCCCCCUACCCAAGCCUAUAAUGUCCUUCCACCAAAUCGAUGUCUUUGCUCCCGUUAGAGUCGUAUCUCUACCCAACAAUUGAGUAGGCAAGUGACCGUACCUAAACUGUAAUUGUAUUAUCAAAGGGAUUGGAGGCAUGAGUGAAUUUAGACAUUACAUAUUUGUUACACAUCUCAAUAACGUUUUAACCGAUAUAAAUUUUAUAAAAUCACCGUUGGAUUGAAAGUUUAUAUCAUAUAGAUCAUUUAUGUAAAAUUUCAAAUAAAUCCAAAAUCAUUUGAUAUGCUAUUGAGACACAUAAAGAUUAACGACAUUUAAAAAAAAAACGUUAGUUUUGAUGUAUCUUAAUAACAUAUCAAAUGAUUUUGAAUUUAUUUGAAAUUUUAAAUAAUGAUCUAUAUGAUAUAAAUUUUCAAUCCAACGGUGAUUUUAUAAAAUUUAUAUCGGUUAAAACGUUAUUGAGAUGGUAACAUUUGAUGUCAAACAAGCUGGUGUCAAUGGAUCCUGACUCAUGUAGUAAUUAUAAUAUGUAGUAUAAUAUAUUAAACGUGAUCAUAGUAUAAUAUAUACUCCAUCUGUCCCAAAUUAUAAGGGAAAAAAUCCUAUUUUUUUUGUCCCAAAUUAUAAGCGAAAAACCAUUUUCAAGAAUGUUUUUUUCCUUAGGGUGCGUUUGAUUCGUAAAACAGCAAGGACUGGACAGAACAGUACAGGACAAAACAAGAUAAUACAGGACAGGACAAACCUGUACCGGAAAGAUAUAGGACGAUAAUAUUUUUAUAUUCGAAAAUAAAANNNNNNNNNNNNNNNNNNNNNNNNNNNNNNNNNNNNNNNNNNNNNNNNNNNNNNNNNNNNNNNNNNNNNNNNNNNNNNNNNNNNNNNNNNNNNNNNNNNNUCUCUCUCUCUCUCUCUCUCUCUCUCUCUCUCUCUCUCUCUCUCCCUUUUUUUCAAUAAACAACCACCAAUAAAAUUGUUUUUACAUCAUCUCAUGCAACUUAUUUCAAGGAAAUCUCACAUAAACAUAUUUCAAAUUAUCGUGUUUUACUUUUUUAAUAAGUGUGAUUUUGUUUUUUACCUUAUAAUUUGGGACGGAGGGAGUAGCAAUUAUAAUAAUGUAGUAAAAAAAAGAUUGAAUAUGUAUUAAUUGUAUAAAAUAAGUGGGUUGAUUUCUAUUUAAACAAAAGUAGGCUUUGAUUUCAUAUUUAGGGUCCGUUUGGUGCACAGGAUAAGAGACAGGAUAGGAUAACUGUAUCAUAUCUUGCCGCAAUCCAGUGUUUGGUGAUACAGCAAGAUAUGAUAAGUUAAUCCUGAAGCUUAUCCUAUUCUGUCUCUCUAGUUAUAAUUCUUAUUCUGAAUUUGAGCUGGGUUACCAGCAGGAUAGGAUAAGAAAAAAAAUUACUGAUUUAUUUUAUAAAAUAUAUUUUAAAAUACAUAAAAUAAAAUUAAUAAAAUAUAAAUAAUAAAAUAAUUAAUUUAAAUAUAUAUGUGAUUUUCUCACAGGGGUAAUUUUGUAAUUUAUAUAUUCUAAAAAAUCAAAAUUUUACUAAAAUUAAAAUAUUUUAAAGUAAAAUGAUUAUUAAAAAAUUGACAAAUAGGGAUAUUAAUUUAAAUUUUAUAAAAAAUUAAAUAUAUCAUAUAUUUAUUUGGCUUAUCUAACAUGUAUAUAUUAUUGAGUUAUUUAUUUGAUCAUGAUUCAUAUAAAAAAUUAAACUUGAUUAUUUUCUCAUGAUUUUUAUUUGAAAUUAUAUAAAGUUAUCUGAUUACUUAUUUAUAUUUUUUAUUUAUAAAAUUCAAAGUAUUACAAAAUAAUUUUAAAAAAAUAACAAUUGUUUUACAAGAGUAAUUUUGUCAUUUAAAUAUGUUAUAUAUCUUAUCAUAUUAUUAUGAGAUAUUAAAAACAAAAUUAUAAUAGUUAUCAUGUUUGUUAUUCUGUGUGCACCAAACACAUGAUAUGAUUACUGAGUAUAAUUGUUAUCCUGCUGUUAUCAUAUCUUAUCCUUAUCAUGUUUUAUAUCUUAUCCUGUCACUAUGCUACCCUGCGCACCAAACGAGCCCUUAUUAUAUUAGAUGUUGGUUACAAAAUUAUAUCAAAUUGAUUGACAUAACUUAGUGGCAAAUGCACUAAAUAAUUCUUAGAUGAUAUGAGUUCGAUUCUUGCUGAGUUAUUUUUUUAACAUUUUAUUUGAAUUAAAUUAGGGUAAAAAUGAGAGGGAGAAAGAUUAGGUUUUGGGUUAGCAAAAUAUUACAAACUUGGAAUAUAAGAGAUAAGAGAUAAGCCACUAGGCUACCUGACCAAAAAAAAAAAAGAGAUAAGAGAUAAAAAUGCUAUUUAGUAAGAAUUUUUGUAUGCAAGAAAAAGAAGAAUCUUAUGUGGCAAUAUUUAACACUUACAAAUUAUAAUUACUCUAUCUCCCAUGUAUGGUUAUCGAAUCUUUUAUCUUUGAUUGGUCAGAUUUCCUAUUUUUGUGGAUUCUUAUCUUUCUUGUGUAAAUAUUUCUUACUAAAUAGCAAUGUUCAAAAUUUAUUUUCUUGAUUAGACUUUCUAAAUUUGUCUCUUAUAAAAAUGAUCGAAUGGAGUAUUAUUUAUAGGGAAAAAUUAACAUAUGUCAUUAAGACAUAAUGAUUCAAAAUAAAUAAAUGUUUUAUUGUAAUUCGUGCAUCUAAUUUACUUUUUAAACUUUUCACAAAUUAAUUGCACAACUUUUAAGGAAAUGUUUUUAUUUUUGAAUUUUUAACAUGUGCAUUAGAACAUACAAUAUAUGUGAGUACAUGUUAGCGAGAUCGUUAAUUAUAAUGUAUUGGAUCUUGUUUAAUCACCAUUACGAUAAAUACAUACUAGAAUAUACUCCAUCAGACCCUUUUUUUUAUAAAGAACACUUUGAAAAAUCACACAGACCAAAUAAACUAAUUUUUCUCAUUAAUAAUUCUAAAAUUUUAUGUUUCAUUCUAAAACCAACCCUCGUCUAGCAUGAAAAAUAAGUCUCUCUAAUUAAUGCACUGGCAUUGGAAUGAAUUAUUUGAUUUUAUUUAGUAAGAACACAAAUGGAAUUGUGUAUUUAAUAAAGAAUAAAUUUAAAAAGUGUUUCCUAUAAAAGGACAAAUAAAAUUUAAAAAUUGCUUAUGUCUUAGAUGAAGUGAUAAUCCACUUAAAUUAAACUCAUGUAUAAUUGUGAGAUCCCUGGUUCGAACCCGAGUCAUGAUGUCCGAUCUAACAAAUUCAUAAGAGAUAAAUUAUGACAUUUUUUUGGAUGUUUAUAAAAUAAACAAUCAUCAAAUUUUAACUCUAUUGAAUUUCGGGGGACAUAAACCUUAACUAGUAAGUCCACACAAAAGCAUAACACUACUAAUGAACAGGUAGAUUAAUAACCGAAUUUAGGGAGGGUAUACAAUCCCUCACAACCUGUGACAGGAUUAGUUACGAAAAGUGAUGAUUUUACUUAGAAUAAUUUUUUUUUAAUUUUAGUGAUGUAAUUUAUUACAAUUAGUUUCUCUCACGAAUAUUUCGUCAUAAAAUCGGUCACAAAUUUAAUUAGUUUUUUGCUUUAUUAGAGAAUCUGUCACAAAAUACGGUCUCAAAUAUUUUUUUAGUGAGGGAAAUAUUCCGUUAUAAACAUGGUAAAUGUUAUAAAAUUUGUGAGGGAAUUAUUUCAUCACAAACAAUUAUUUUAAAAUAUAAAGACAAUUUAUAUUUUAUUUUGUUUUCGAUUAGAAAACACACAAACUAUGCAUUCUGAAAAUCACACACAAAAGCGCUUUCUGGAAAUCGCUUUCCCGCUCACAAACUCGCAUUCCCUUUUCGUUUCUUCUUCGGAGCUUACACACUGAAGAUUCCACACUGUAAGUGAAAUCUCUCUCUCUCUCUCUCUCUCUCUCUCUNNNNNNNNAGUAAAAAAUCUGUUAAGAGCGAAGAUUAAUUAAGAAAUUAGGGUUAAGACUGCAAGUUGAACUAUAUUGAAUUGAAACAUAGCCUAAAUAAUUUUUGUUGACAUUUUUUAAUUUUUGAAUUGAAAUAAGGAUUGUAAGACAUUUUUGAAUUUUUGAUAAUAUUUGUUGAAUUAUGAUGUGUUUUUUGGUUGUGAACUUUGUUUCAAUUAUGAUAUAUCUGUCCAUAGUUUAGACACAAUAAUCUCAACGAACUGGUUGAACUAAGUAGCUGAAUUAUGAUGUGUUUGUGUAUUUUUUGGGUAAAUAGAUCAAAAAUUGCUUUAGUCUUUUCAUUGUGUUUAUUUUUCUUAUUAUAACACGUAGUCAUUUGUUAUUAGUUGAAUGCAUUCUUUUGCGGUUUCGGUAAACCUGUUUUGUGCUUGGCAUGAUCAUUAACAGUUAGGGUGCUUCCUGUCCAAGUCUCUUGAUGGUGGCUAGUGUAGUUAUAGGUUUUUUUGAAGUUGGAUUAUCCACAAGUUAAGAGAUUUUGCUGAACUUAUUCACACAGACCAAUAAAAUUGACUAUCUUAUUACCUUAUUUUAUAAAACCUGCUAACAUAUACACUACUUUUGUUGUUGGUACAUAUUCAGGUGUAAAUGACUUUGGCAGGACUUUAUUUCAUGUACAAACUAGUUAUUUGUUUCUUACUCAUAUUUCACAAGUUUGGAUAUUUUGGGGUUCUCUUCUCAUUCAUUCGUACCACUUCUAUAGUUGUUAUGUGCAUAUAACUUUCGCUUCAUGCAAGUGUGGUGGAGACUAGAGACCUUUAAGUUCUUUGAUGUUGUUCUUUGUUUAUUCUUUUCAGUUCACUUCUAAUAGGUAAUACCACCCUGUAGUUCUUACUCAGUUGAAAAUGAUUUGGUUGAGUUAGACAAUUGGGAUGGUGAUAGAAACUCAAAAACAUCUCUUCUACAAUGUCAUGAAGCAUGAUAAAACCAUUGACUGCAUCCUUCAUUAUGAAAAUAUUUAUAUGAAAAACAGACAGUGCUGGUGCUAUUUCCUUUUUAUGUUCUUACUGUCCAAAGUAAGAGUUAUACUUUUUUAAAAUAAUAUUGGAUUAUUCUCAGGUAUGAAUAAAUAAUAUUGGAUUAUUUACUACUUUGAUACACAGUUUUGGUGUGUAGUUCUAUGUGGUUUUGCUGCUUCAUAUAGGUAAUUUAGCAAGGAAUAACUUGUGUUUAAAAUUGAUAUAAUUAAUUUUCUUGUGUGUUCAAAGGAUAGCUUGAACAAUUUUGUUUAUAAAUAUUCUCUGAGUUUAUGUUUUACUCUCUUUUGAGCUCAGAGUAGUUUUGAUUUCUUAGGUUGGUUUAUAGGAGUUAGAUUUUAUUUAGAGAAUUUUGUGUAGUCUCUCAAUUGGGAAAUGAGAGGUUUGUUUUCUAAACUAAUGAUCUAUGGUUUAUAUAUAUAUUUUUUUUUGAACAGCCUAUGGUUUAUAUAUCUGUUUCUUUGUCACAGGCUAUUGUAGCAGAUCUGCAGGAGACAAUUCACAAGUGAAGUAAGUGACCAAUUUUUUUUAUGUAUAAGUUACACUUUUAUAAGUAAUAUCUGAGAAGAAAAAUGACCAAAAUCAAAUUAGUCUUAUGCUUAUGCCUUGAUGGGUCUAAGAUGUUUCUAUAUAUUGUUCUAGUUAUUUCUAUAAUAUAUUUUGAGCACAUGUUAUACCUACUACAACCUGCUAUCAAUUAUUGUUUAUAGUGUUGGUUAAACUGAUUUUAAACUUGAUUUUUUAAAUAUGCAUACAUAGAUCGCAGAUAAUGAUAACACGAAAGGUGGAGGAAGAGGUUCCGGUAGAGGUAUCAAUAGAGGUAGGAAAGGCAGGGGUACCGCCACUUUGUCACAAUCUAAUAUUGGGCAACCUACAAAUCCUACCACAACUCAACUAGCUACAAAUACCCAACUUCUCCACCCUACUCCUCAUCUCUCAUCUAAGAGAGGUAGCGGUACCACUACAUCACAAUCUAAUAUUGGGCAACACAAAUCCUUCCACAUCUCGCACAACCACAAAUACCCAACUUUUUCACCCUACUCCUCGUCUUUCAUCUAAGAGAGGUAGCGGUACCACUACUUCACCACAAUCUAAUAUUGGGCAAACUACAAAUCCUUCCAUAUCUUGCAUAACUAUACAUACCGAACUUCCCUUCUCUACUCCUCAUCUUUCAUCUAAAAGAGGUAGGGGUACCACUACUUCAUGACAAGCUAGUAUUGAGCAAACUACAAAUCCUUCCAUAUCUCGCAUAACUACACAUACCGAACAUCCCUACUCUACUCCUCCUCUUUCAUCUAAAAGAGGUAGGGGUACCACUACUUCAUCACAAGCUAAUAUUGAGCAAACUACAAAUCCUUCCACAUCUCGCACAACUACACAUACUGAACUUCCCCACUCUACUCCUAGCCCACCUAUUUCUCCUACACCUAGCAUGUCACAUGUCCCAUCUGCUGCUGCAUCUGGUGAUGAUCCACAUGUUGAUUCACCACCUCAAAUUGGGAGUAAGGACCCUAGUGAUGGGCAUAUUUGGAUUCGUCCAGGACCAACAAAAACGUAAGUUUUUAUAACUUUUUUUCCCUUUAAUUCUAACAUAACUUAUGUUGUGUAUCUUACAGUUUAUUUAAUAUUGUUUUUAUAGAUUUGACCCUUGUGUUAAGCCCACACGUGAGAUUAUAAAAAUUAUUAAACGUAAGUUUGAAGGGUCUUGGGCAACAUAUGGAGAUAUAAAGGGGAAAAAAAGGAUAAAGACGAAAAUGAUAGACAAAAAUGAUAAAGAUGUGGCUGAUUUGUGGUUUGGAGAGUUUAAGGUAUGAAAGUAUGCAUGGAUAUUCGAGUAACUUGAUAUUCAUUUUUUUCCCCCAUUAAAUUGCACUUGAAUGGAUAAUUGAGUAACUUGGAAGUAUGCAUAGAUAUUUGAGUUCUGUGCGGGCUGUUUUAGCAUGAAUAUUUGAGUAAUUUGAUAGUUAUUUUCACUCUAGAAAGACUGCACGUGCAUAUUUGAUUUCAUUAAUAUUAGGGGACUACUCAUCAGUUGUUAUUUUAAAGAUUUGAUUUCAUUAAUAUUAGUGGACUACCCUGUUAGUAUUGCUCCAAGUUCUUCCGUAGGUGAUGGAGUCUUCAAUCUAUAGACAAAAAUGGAUUUGGUGGAACCAAAAUUAGCACUGUUAAUCCUUACACUGUAAUGGAGACUUCAAUCUAUAAUACUAUAUGUGAAAUCUAUGUGUGUAAAGUAUUAUGUGAAAUAAGUGUUGUUCUGUUGAUGUAUGAUAAGUAUUCUUUACUAACUUAUAAGGUUUAUAACUUUAUAUUGUAGAGGAAGUAUAAGUGGCUACCGGAACAUGAGGAUGACAUUAGGAAGUAUAAGUAUAGCACAAUUCAAACAAUUUAUAUCCAACUUCUAAAUAAUUCUACCAGACUAAGUCUACAUUUUGGUGAAUAGACCAAUCAUCAACAGAAACUGAUCCAAAAACCAACAACUCCCUGCGGCGAACCACAACAAGCAAAGAGACUCUUUCGAGCCAUAUAGUUUAACGUCAAAGAAAGUGAUGACGAGAUAUCAUGAACAGUCCAAAAUCAAUCUCAAGUAAGAAAAGUCCAAAAGGUUCAUCAACAAGGGGGCAUGUCCGGCGGCGGUGGCAGUAAUGUUUCAUUCGAAGCUUUGCCAUUCUUCACAAUAAACACCGUCUCCAUGCCCCAAGAGAGGUGGCGUUCAAGAUGACAGUGCAGGAACCAUACUCCUGAAAUUGAGUGCGCAGUUCACACAACAAUGAGUUUUGAACUAUAAGAUAAAUGAGGAGGAAAAUAGUUAAAUAGUAUAUAGAAUAUAUUGCAACGCCACAUACCCAGGUUGGUGAUAGAAUGAUUAGUUUUAAAUGAAUGUUGUUUAUUUUGCAUGGAUUUAAGUUUAUAUGUUCUUCAUAUUUUUUUUCUCUCUAUUUUUUCAUUUUUUCAAUAAAUUCAUGAUGACUUAGGAUCACGUUACCCUAAAAAAAAAGAUGUUUACUAUGUAUAACGGUAUAAGUUCAGUAAGGCACAUACCGGGGUUGGUGGCGACGAACCUAAUAGCCGCCCAUCCAUUUUUAGGCACCGUCACUGUAUUCACAAUCGGAGGAUCAACAAGAUUGUAAUUCAUGGGGUCCUUACUUUUGUUGAAAUUACCAAAUCCAUAUCCAACAACAUAGAAACUAUAUCCAUGUAGAUGCAUAGGAUGGUCUAACCCUGUAAUCAGAUUUGUCCCUUGGUAAACAAGUUCAACAUUUGAGCCAUAUUUUAUAACUUUAACUUUGGUUCCUCGCUUUGGUGUUUGCAAGGUCAAAGGCAAAGAAUCUCCUGUGAAGUUAAAUAUAUAACGUGGAAAAUUUGGAAAUCCCUUUUUGUAUACCCCAUGGAUAUGAUAGUAAUAAGCUUCUAGUAUGUCAAUGUUAGUGUUAACAAAGCUUAUGUUGUUCAUGCUAGCAGCUAAAAUGGUUCCAUUUGGACCUUCACAUGAUUGGUUAUUGGGACAUGGAAAGGUGUUGAUAGAAAUUGUGCUUAUUAUAUGAGUGUUGAUUUUUUUUGGGACACCAUUAGAGUACUUAUCAGGUAUACCUCUAAUGCUUGUGAUGAAGUCAAAAGCUGCUGAUGUGUCAUUAUAGUCUGGAAGAUAAGGUAAUGAAGGAACUGAAAGUGGAUUAUAACUCUCUUUGUAUUGUAAUAUAGCAGUGGUUGUGGUGUUAUCAAAAUCUACUCCUACUCCAGUUGAAUAUGCUCUUGCAGCCAUAUAGUAGUGAUCAGGUUCUUGGUUGGCAUGAAGCAAUAUAUCCAUUGUGUUUCCUGGUGAUAUGCAAAUGUAAUCUCUUGUCAUUGGUUUGGUGUACAUAGCAUCAACACCGACAACAGUGAGUUUGUGUUUAGCAAUUGACAUAAAGAGAAUGAGAUUCAUUGCAGCAUUAACCACACGUAGAAGAUAUGUCUUUCCUUGCUCUACUCUUAGCUUGAAUGUUUCUGAAAAAUAAAAGAAAUCCAACGUUUAAAUAUACAAAAAUGUUUGUAUGUGAUAUAUUUCUUUUUUUUAGGUAAGACAUAUAAUUCUUCAAUAGUAGUAUAUUAAUGGUUAUUUUUAGAGUUUAAGGACUAUUUACUGAUAAAUGUACAAACACUACAAGAAAACACGAAUUUACUGGUGGCCUUUGGCCCUCAUAAAGUAGGAAAAGCCGUCAAUAAGUAAAGAAAUUGGACUAUUUACUUGCGGUUUACAUCUGUCGUAAGGCACUUGGUAAAUUUUACCGGCCAGGAUCACCACAAAAUAAUGGCUAUUGGUACUUUUAUUUACCGUGGCUUGAGCCGCGACUAACUUAUAUUAUUUUAAAAAAAAAAAAUUGAAAUUACAUAAACAAUACAUGGUCUUCUUUUAAUAACUUAUCUCAUUUUAAUAACUCAGUAGAAUUAGAAAAACAAAGUACAAUUGUUGGGUCUUCUUUAAAGGUACCCUUAAAUCCCAUAAACAAAAUCUCAAAAAUAGUGGUAGUUUGAGUCUUGUUUCCUCUCUGCUAACUGAGUAUACAUGGGAUUUGCCACUCUCGUUCUUCAAAACUCAAUCCCAAAAUCAAAAUCCCUAAUCGAGAAGCCAUUCUUGUGUUUUGCGGUUUCAGAAAAUUGAAGGUGGGAGAAAUGAGAGUGUUGUGUUUUGUUUAGUCAGAUAAAUGAAGGUGAGCUUUUUCUUGUAAAGUUCUGGGUGAUUUUGCGGCGGCCUAGGCCAUCAUUAAGUUAGCAAGUUGGCACCAUUUAUUGGCGGUUUUGGCUGUCAGGAAGUUACAUGGUCGUUCUUUUGAGGGAUUUUACUCACUUUGUGACGGUUUUGGCCGCCAAAAACUUAUCGGAGGUCCAAAAUGCCAGGAAGUAUAUAAUAAAUCCGUCAAAAAAACCAUGUAUUCUUGUAGUCAAAAUAGGCUGCUCCCAUCUGUUAGGGGCAUCUGUUUCUUCUUAUUUGGGCAGGUUCCUCUGUUAUCUCGGUUGGCAGUGGCUACUUGGUGGUUCCAUUUGUGUUUUUGUUUUUUCGUGUCUGCAGUGUUUAUCUCGUUGUACUCUUUGGUUUAGUUGAUUUUUAUCUUUAUAGAUUAUUUUGUCAUUAAAAAAGAAAUUACACAGAUAUUCAAUGAGAUAUCUUAUAAUGUUAUACCUCAUAAUAUUAUUUUCAAUAUAAGAAAGUUAAUGUAUUUGAUUCAAACCGUAAUGUUAUACUACAUCAUAAUGUUAUACAUCAUAAUAAAUAUAAGAAAGUUGAUGUAUUUGAUUCAAACCGUAAAUCAAAUACAUUAGUUUUCUUUGAUCAAAUUUAUUUAUAUUUGAGACAGAAGAAAGUCUAUAGUAAUAUUCGCACAAAAAUGUAUAGUGAUAUUGUAUCCAUCUCAAACAUGUCUUUUACUAAUGAAGUAUUCAUUCGAUCAUCACUUUUACUCUACAUGUUCUCUGUUUUUGACUCUUUCAUAUUCACAAAAUAGACAAAAAAAAAAACUUCACAAACAACUCUUCACAAUUCAGUAUUCUUCAAUAGACUAUGACGUAAAGAGUUGAAGACUCGUGAAUGAAUUUCAAUUCCUAAGUAGUAAAAGUUUAGUAAAUAUAAAUUAAUAAAUUUAGUCUUUAUUUUAAAUUUAAUAUAUCUUCGUUUGUUGUGAAGAGUCUCACAUUAGAUGUGAGGUGAAGUUAAAAAUCUCGCAUCAGAGGUUAGAUGGUAAUGAUAUGAACACGAGUUAUAUGUAGAGAUAAUUUUCACCUUACAAAUUAGUUUUGUAGGGUUGAGUUAGACUUUUAAUUCUAAUAUGAUAUUAGAACUUCGUCAAAAUCUAUUGGGCCGCUUACUGUCAAUUUUCACUUUCGGUUCACCCACCAUCUAUAUUGACGAACCAAGUCUAAUAGUGUUGGGCAUGAGGUGUGUUAAGAGUCUCAUAUCGGAUGAGAGAAGACCUAAAAAUGAGUUUAUAAUCAGAGACGAUCUUCACUUUACAAGUAGAGACAAUCUUCACAUAGCAAAUCGGUUUUGUAGGAUUGAGUUAGGUCUAACUCUAAUUCUAAAAUUGUUGAUCGACUUUUCUUUUUUAUAUUGAAUUAUAUACUAUCAAGUUGAUCAUUGAUCAUGAUAUAAUUAUAGAACUAUAGGAAAUUCUUGAUGCAUUUACCCGAUUUGGAGCAAGGAUAUAGAUCUCCUGGUUGACCAUUUAUAGUGAUAGCAUCAGAUAUGUUUGGGGCUCCCCCACUUUCAAUAAAUUCUGUAAGAACCUCGUUAACAUCACUCUUCCACCAUUCACCUAGUAUGAAAAAUUAAAAUGUUAAAAAAUAAUAAUAUCCAUUUCUAUUAAACUAAACACUAAUACAUAUAUUCCCUUUGUAUUUGGUCAACAAAAGUGAAUGUAUUUGGUCCAAAUCUUUAAUCAAAUACAUUGAGUUUUUUUGACUCAUUUUUCUUAUAUUUCGGGACGGAGAGAGUAUAUGAUACGAUCAAUAACAAAAUAAAUUCAUACCAAAUAUGAUGGGUAUCUCUCCAUAAGGUUUAGGAAAAGGGUAGCUACUAUUAAUUUUAGGAUAGAUAAUGAUAGCCCCAUGGACAGUUGCUCUAGUCCAAUCACUAUGUGCAUGCCACCAUAUAGUCCCUUCUUCUACUGAAAAAGCCACUUUUUGUGUAAAUAUUUCUCCAGGUUGAAUUGGACAUUGAGUUAUGUACUCAGGACCAUCUGACCAAGGAUUCCUAGGCUGCUUCACUCCAUGCCUGUCCAUUUAAUCAAUUAUACUAUAAUUAAGAACUUAAUUAAUUUACCAUCCAUGAUGUUGUG